UUUCGCAAUGCCCGAAAGGGUGACGAAGCGACGCCGCGUGUGGGAAGAAGGCCUUCGGGUUGUAAACCACUGUCGGGAGUUAAGAAAUGUAAGGAUGCUAAUAGUAUUCUUACUUGACUAAGGCUCCGGAGGAAGCCACGGCUAACUCUGUGCCAGCAGCCGCGGUAAUACAGAGGCGGCAAGCGUUGUUCGGAAUUAUUGGGCGUAAAGAGCACGUAGGCGGCUGUGUAAGUCGGUUGUGAAAGCCUUCCGCUUAACGGAAGAACAGCGACCGAUACUGCAUAGCUAGAGUGCGGGAGGGGAGAGUGGAACUUCUGGUGGAGCGGUGAAAUGCGUAGAUAUCAGAAGGAACAUCGGCGGCGAAAGCGACUCUCUGGCCCGUAACUGACGCUGAGGUGCGAAAGCUAGGGGAGCAAACGGGAUUAGAUACCCCGGUAGUCCUAGCCGUAAACGAUGGGCACUAAGUAGAGGGGUUUU
This 477-nucleotide ribosomal RNA is filed under the name uncultured anaerobic ammonium-oxidizing bacterium. Its description in RNAcentral is "bacterial SSU rRNA". It matches the Rfam family "Bacterial small subunit ribosomal RNA", at positions 364 to 832 of the family's 1533-position model. The record is from RNAcentral.